RNAcentral lists this ribosomal RNA (460 nucleotides) under uncultured bacterium. RNAcentral describes it as "partial 16S ribosomal RNA". It matches the Rfam family "Bacterial small subunit ribosomal RNA", at positions 338 to 795 of the family's 1533-position model. The record is from RNAcentral.
CCUACGGGAGGCAGCAGUGAGGAAUAUUGGUCAAUGGGCGGGAGCCUGAACCAGCCAAGUCGCGUGAGGGAAGACGGUCCUAUGGAUUGUAAACCUCUUUAGGCGGGGAGCAAUGCCGGGCACGCGUGCCCGGAGGGAGAGUACCCGCAGAAUAAGCAUCGGCUAACUCCGUGCCAGCAGCCGCGGUAAUACGGAGGAUGAGAGCGUUAUCCGGAUUGAUUGGGUUUAAAGGGUGCGUAGGCGGAUUUUUAAGUCAGCGGUAAAAUGUCCGGGCUCAACCCGGGCCGGCCGUUGAAACUGGGGAUCUUGAGUGGGCGAGAAGUAUGCGGAAUGCGUGGUGUAGCGGUGAAAUGCAUAGAUAUCACGCAGAACUCCGAUUGCGAAGGCAGCAUACCGGCGCCCGACUGACGCUGAGGCACGAAAGCGUGGGGAUCGAACAGGAUUAGAUACCCCAGUAGUC